Molecule: transfer RNA, 85 nt
Filed under: Gnomoniopsis sp. IMI 355080
Lineage: Eukaryota; Fungi; Ascomycota; Sordariomycetes; Diaporthales; Gnomoniaceae
Description: tRNA-Glu
Rfam family: tRNA
About the family: Transfer RNA (tRNA) molecules are approximately 80 nucleotides in length.
Source: RNAcentral
UCGGGUAUGGUGUAGCGGUAACAUCGGUGACUCUCAAUUCGGUUGAAGUACUCACCAGCCCGGGGUUCGACUCCCCGUAUCCGAG